Molecule: long non-coding RNA, 598 nt
Organism: Gymnogyps californianus (California condor)
Lineage: Eukaryota; Metazoa; Chordata; Aves; Accipitriformes; Cathartidae
Exons: 3
Source: RefSeq, a predicted model, not a curated record
GGCUCCUGCUCUGCUUGUGCUGUGCUCCUGUUGUGCCUCCAAAGAGCUGCUGUUAGUACAAUUGCAUGUGACUGCCUCUGAAACAGUAAUGGAUGAUGUCUUCAUAGUGCAACAGUGUGACUGGAAAUGUUAUUCGCAGUUUGCUGACAGAUAUUCAGAAAAAAGGUAGAAAAAUGAUGAAAUGCUGCAACAGGAAUAUCUGUACAAUAAGGAGAUUGGAGGAUGCUUUUCUGCACAAUUUUAUCAUUCCAAUGGUCUGGAGGAUCUGGACAAUUGAAAACCAACAAGUAAAUAAAGCCCUAUCUAUAAGAUACCCAAGUGCUGGAUAAGUAUUGAGUGGUGAGGAGGAAUGUUGAAACGAUCAUGUGAGGCUAAACGGUGCUGUAUGGACUGAGUGACUGAAACAACAUUCUAAUCAAAUCUGACAGCUCUAUUGCAUUAUAAUUAUAGACUGCCAGAGGCGCUUUUUAGACUAUCAGUACUUUUGGGAUAGUUUGCAUCUAAAUUAAAAUUGAACCUCAGAGCAGUUUAAUGGGGAUAUGUUUCCAAGGAGUUUCAAAAAUGUGAAAGACACUAACUGAUUAGCAUUGUGCACUGU